GACGAACGCUGGCGGCGUGCCUAAUACAUGCAAGUAGAACGCUGAAGGCGGAGCUUGCUUCUCUGGAUGAGUUGCGAACGGGUGAGUAACGCGUAGGUAACCUGCCUGGUAGCGGGGGAUAACUUUUUGAAACGAUAGCUAAUACCGCAUAAGAGUAGAUGUUGCAUGACAUUUGCUUAAUAGGUGCAAUUGCAUCUCUACCAGAUGGCCCUGAGUUGUAUUAGCUAGUUGGUGGGGUAACGGCUCACCAAGGCGACGAUACAUAGCCGACCUGAGAGGGGGAGCGGCAACACUGGGACGGAGACACGGCCCAGAAUACUAGGGGAGGGAGAAGUAGGGGAUUUUCGGGAAUGGAAGGAAGGCGGAACGAGGAACGCCGCGUGAGUGAAGAAGGUUGUCGGAUCGUAAAGCUCUGUUGUAAGAGAAGAAUGAGAGGGAGAGUGGAAAGUGCACACUGUGACGGUAUCUGAACAGAAAGGGACGGCUAACUACGUG
RNAcentral lists this ribosomal RNA (495 nucleotides) under uncultured bacterium. RNAcentral's name for it is "partial 16S ribosomal RNA". It matches the Rfam family "Bacterial small subunit ribosomal RNA", at positions 28 to 507 of the family's 1533-position model. The record is from RNAcentral.